Podarcis lilfordi (Lilford's wall lizard) is the source of this 68-nucleotide non-coding RNA. The record is from the annotation of a GenBank genome assembly. NCBI's taxonomy places the organism in Eukaryota, Metazoa, Chordata, Lepidosauria, Squamata, Lacertidae.
GACAGCUCAGUUGGUACAGCAUGAUACUCUUAAUAUCAGGGUCAUGGGUUUGAACCCCACCUUGGGCA